Molecule: ribosomal RNA, 465 nt
Filed under: uncultured bacterium
Lineage: Bacteria
Description: partial 16S ribosomal RNA
Rfam family: Bacterial small subunit ribosomal RNA
Source: RNAcentral
GACGAACGCUGGCCGCGUGCUUAACACAUGCAAGUCGAACGGAAAGGCCCCUUUGGGGGUACUCGAGUGGCGAACGGGUGAGUAACACGUGAGUAACCUGCCCUUGACUUCGGGAUAACUUCAGGAAACUGGGGCUAAUACCGGAUAGGAAUCCUUGCUGCAUGGUGGGGGUUGGAAAGCUUCGGCGGUUUUGGAUGGACUCGCGGCUUAUCAGCUUGUUGGUGGGGUAGUGGCUUACCAAGGCUUUGACGGGUAGCCGGCCUGAGAGGGCGACCGGCCACAUUGGGACUGAGAUACGGCCCAGACUCCUACGGGAGGCAGCAGUGGGGAAUAUUGCACAAUGGGCGGAAGCCUGAUGCAGCAACGCCGCGUGCGGGAUGACGGCCUUCGGGUUGUAAACCGCUUUCAGCAGGGGCGAAGCUUGUGGUGACGGUACCUGCAGAAGAAGCACCGGCUAACUACGUG